This is a long non-coding RNA of Scylla paramamosain (green mud crab), 1342 nucleotides long. RefSeq lists it as uncharacterized. The record is from RefSeq and is a predicted model, not a curated record. NCBI's taxonomy places the organism in Eukaryota, Metazoa, Arthropoda, Malacostraca, Decapoda, Portunidae. The transcript is spliced from 3 exons.
AAUUAUUGCCUGUUGCAUUUAAAUCAAUACAGAAGAGUGAUCAAAUGCCCAUUAAGGGAUUCCAAAUGGACACUUUCAUCAUAUGCAGGGCUAAAGGCUCAUAUAUACCAAGACCAUCAAGAACGUAGGUCAAAAAGUGAAGAAAAAUUGUUGAUCUUAAGUCUCCAUUUGAAAUUACAGUGUAAAACUCUUUUGUGCCAACAAGUUUAUGAUAAAAAUGAAGGAUUUAUUAAAGCAUUUGAGACAGCACAUUGAUGAUGGCACCAGGAUUCAGUGCCCCUUUAAUCAGUGCUCCAAAAUGUUCUCAAAGACAACCACAUUUAAAUCACACUUAAGUAGGCAUCACACAUAUCAAACAGUUAAGGACUUGCCAUCUGAAAUGGUCUACUCAUCAAAUUCAGACCUCUGUGAUGACUUGUCACCAAGUUAGGAGGUAUCCAGUACAACAAGAAAUGACAUUUAUGACUUGGAAGGGACUAGCUUAUCAUUUAUAUACAUAUGUAACCAAAGGAGGUGUAAUAUUACAACCAGGAGCAGUGUAAAUAAUUGUAAUUUUCUUAUCAUUUUACCUUUGAUAAAGUUAUUAAUUGGUUCCUUUGUGCUUAAUAAACAGGAAGGGGAUGUGUGGGUAUUUGUUAUAAAAAUUAUGAGAGAGAAGUAUCUUGUGGUCCAUAAAAAUUAUGUUAUCAUUAUUAUUACCUGGUCUUUUGUGGAAAAAGCUUUAGGAAGAGGAGGUAAAAUAUCUACUGCAGUUCUGCCACAAGCAUUGAUUGGUGAGAAAGGGGUGAAGAUGCUAGAGACAAGUCAUGAAAUCCUGACCAGGUGGCUAUGUUAUUUUUAUUUAUUUAUUUAUUUUCAAUACUUUCAGGAGAAUCAAGGUUUACUACAACAAGAUAUAUGCUGUCAGUUCAUGGUGUUGUUGUCACUGAGCAUAUUGCCACAUUUACCACUGGCCUAGCUAUGCUGUUGGCCUCCUAUUACAACUUUAAUAUAAGGUACCCCAUGGAUUCUGCAUCAACACUCGAGUUCAUUCAAAGAUGUUUUGCUGGUAUCAAUCCCAAAUGGGGGAGCAAGAUAGAAGUAAAAAAAAACAUUGCAAAAGGCACUCUGAAGUCCAUCCGAAGGUCCUGUCCCUGAUUAAUGGUAUUGCUGAUGUAGACUGGAGGAGCUAAAUCCCACCAGAUGCUGUCAGCCACUAGAGGGGAGGAAACUAGAAUUGUGAUACACAAGUGGAUGAAACUUCUCUUCCAGUCUUGGUGAUGUACUUAAAUAAUGCUCUUUUUUUAAUGAUGUGUCAAUGACAAUUAUAAUGGUGAUGCUGUAAAGGUGAUGUACUUAAAUG